CAUAUAACCGCAAACGUGUAUAACCUCAAUAAUCUGGUUUGAGGGUCUCUACCAGGAACCAUAACUCCUGACUACAAAAAU
This 81-nucleotide non-coding RNA is filed under the name uncultured Siminovitchia sp. RNAcentral's name for it is "Purine riboswitch". The stretch from base 17 to 76 matches the Rfam family "Purine riboswitch aptamer", at positions 22 to 84 of the family's 102-position model. Rfam says of the family: Riboswitches are metabolite binding domains within certain messenger RNAs that serve as precision sensors for their corresponding targets. Lineage: Bacteria; Bacillati; Bacillota; Bacilli; Caryophanales; Bacillaceae. The record is from RNAcentral.